Misgurnus anguillicaudatus (oriental weatherfish) is the source of this 1210-nucleotide non-coding RNA. NCBI's taxonomy places the organism in Eukaryota, Metazoa, Chordata, Actinopteri, Cypriniformes, Cobitidae. The record is from RefSeq and is a predicted model, not a curated record.
UCAUUCAACCUGGUCUCAUGGGAAAUACGUACCUCUGUACACUUUUUUGCAGGACCACAAAUAUGUACUAACAGGUACGUAUUGCUACAGUUUUGAAAAAUAAACGUCCACUGGGGUCGCUAAAGAGAAGAACUCCAUGUGACAUAAUUAGGAGUUGCAUUACAUUACAUCGCGAGAUUUAACAACGCAUGUUGUUACUCCAUAUCAGUCAUUUGAUGGACAGUGGGCAACCAAAUAAAAAAGAUGGCAAUUUCUGCAAAAUGAUUAAUUCUAUAGACUUGCUGCUCCACAAGUUGGAAAUACUUGGUGUCUUACCAAUGUUAUUUAUAACUUUGCAGAGAGGCCUGCACCACUCUACCAAAAUUUAAGGUUGCCCCUCUAGAGUCAGUUGCCCCACCACUAUGGUCAGAGACCCCACCGCUGCAGCCGAAGACCCCGCCUCUCCAGUCAGCGACCCCACCACUGUGGCCAGAGACCCUGCCAUUACCAUCAUAGGCCCCACCACUACAAUCAACCACCCUGUCACUACAGUCAGCGUUUCCGCAACUGUGGCCAGAGAGUCCACCACUACCAUCAGAGGCUCUGCGACUACUGUCAGCAACCCCGCAACUGCGGCCAGAGACCACAGCUGUGUGGCAAGAAGUUCCUGGGUGUCUGAGGAUGCUGUACAGUAGUAUGUGUCUGUUUAAAAACAUGCCAUUAUACAUAUCAAUACAGUAUUUGUCAUCAUAGAAAGUUAUUCUAUACAUUUUGUUUAACACUUUAGUUUGUCUUAUUCUUGAAGGUCUGUUGUUGUCAAAAUGUAUUGAUAUUUAGAUAUAAAAAUCAGGAAAAAAAACAGUUUUGUUGUCAACACAUCUACACAUGUUGUUGUUACACUAAUGUGUGGUGAAUACUAUGUAUUAAAGAUGUUUAUAUACAAAAUUUUAUAAAUAAGUUCUUGUGAUUUUUAUUUCAUAAUUGAUUUGGAUAAAAAGGAAAUACAAAUUUCCUUCUCCUAGAAAUGAAUAUUUAAGACAAUAAUGUGCUACAUACUACCUACAUGAACUCUGAACCUUGUUGUUAUAUUGAGUGGCCUGGUAAACAAUUAAGUUUUACAUGUCUACUGAAUGUUUACAUGGUUGUCUUUAUUUACCGUCAUCUCUGUACUCUUGAUUUUGUUCUACAGAUCAUGCUAAUAAAAUAAAUGAUGAAACCUAUUUUAAAUGGG